GUGCCGCGCUGGAUAGCUACCCAAACAUUUUGCUUUGCAAAAAUGUUUUAGGGAGGAAAGUCCGAACACUCACCCCGACUUUAUGGAGGGGUUAAAAAGGUAGCAGGUAACGCCUGCCGUCCGCAAGGAUAGAGAUGCGAACAGAAACGACCCGGUUAAGUCCGGCUGAAACGGCAAAAUUCUUACCCGAGUGCAAGUCCGUGUCCUGCAUAGCUUUACGCGAAGCAGGAAGUGACGCUACAGGUUGUUGGCGACAACAAUCGCAGAUAAAUGGCUAUCUCCGCAGAUGAUGCGGAACAGAAUUCGGCUUAUAGGCGCGGCACGACA
Molecule: RNase P RNA, 327 nt
Filed under: Candidatus Taylorbacteria bacterium RIFCSPHIGHO2_01_FULL_48_38
Lineage: Bacteria; Candidatus Tayloriibacteriota
Also listed under: 4 other names
Description: RNase P RNA component class A
Rfam family: Bacterial RNase P class A
About the family: Ribonuclease P (RNase P) is a ubiquitous endoribonuclease, found in archaea, bacteria and eukarya as well as chloroplasts and mitochondria.
Source: RNAcentral